UGGCUCUCGCAUCGAUGAAGAACGCAGCGAAAUGCGAUAAGUAAUGUGAAUUGCAGAAUUCAGUGAAUCAUCGAAUCUUUGAACGCACCUUGCGCUCCUCGGUAUUCCGUGGAGCAUGCCUGUUCGAGUGUCACGUUAAACCUCACCCCUGUGGCUUUCUCUGAUCGUCGCCGGAGGUGGACUUUGGACCGUGCCGGUUACUACGGCUCGUCCUGAAAUACAUUAGCCGGUGCUGCUUAGGGUGCUCGUGGCUAGCGGUGUGAUAAUUAUCUGCGCCGUGACCUGCCUCCGACCCUUCUGUCUGUGCUGCUUCCAGUCGUCCCUUCUGCGGACAGCUUUUCUUUAAAGCUCUGGCCUCGAAUCAGGUAGGACUACCCGCUGA
Molecule: unclassified non-coding RNA, 382 nt
Filed under: uncultured fungus
Lineage: Eukaryota; Fungi
Description: partial contains 5.8S ribosomal RNA and internal transcribed spacer 2
Rfam family: 5.8S ribosomal RNA (bases 1-133)
Source: RNAcentral